CCAGACCAGCGCUUAAGGCGCUGUAUAGGAGGUCCCCUACUUCAGUACCCAAUCUUCCUCGGCAUGGUUGACGGUUGAUGGGCCCGUUUAAUAGUUUAAUAGGGUUGGCCUUCCUUGGUUACGAACGGUGCCCUCUCCUCUCGGGCUGUCAUGGAUGGACCGACGCUAACAACAAUUGUACAUCUAGUAUGUGCCCCCACUGAAGCGAGAGAAGAGCACAAACGGCAUUCCCUAUUUGGCGCCGCAGGCGUCCGUUACAGGCUAUUUUUCUUAACGGGCGCGUGCAAGGCGCAGCUUCGCUCGGCACCUAGCGAUCGAACCCACAACCGCAUGCUUCACGGCGAGCGCACUAACCACCAG
RNAcentral lists this long non-coding RNA (360 nucleotides) under Hordeum vulgare. RNAcentral describes it as "long non-coding RNA (HVUL_LNC013009)". The record is from RNAcentral. Lineage: Eukaryota; Viridiplantae; Streptophyta; Magnoliopsida; Poales; Poaceae.